UACGUAGGGUGCAAGCGUUAAUCGGAAUUACUGGGCGUAAAGCGUGUGUAGGCGGUUUAUUAAGUUUAAGAUUAAAGCCCGGGGCUCAACCCCGGGACUGCAUUGGAAACUGCCCGUCUUGAGUGCCGGAGAGGUAAGCGGAAUUCCUAGUGUAGCGGUGAAAUGCGUAGAUAUUAGGAGGAACACCAGUGGCGAAGGCGGCUUACUGGACGGUAACUGACGUUGAGGCUCGAAAGCGUGGGGAGCAAACAGG
This 253-nucleotide ribosomal RNA is filed under the name Blautia luti. RNAcentral's name for it is "partial 16S ribosomal RNA". It matches the Rfam family "Bacterial small subunit ribosomal RNA", at positions 524 to 776 of the family's 1533-position model. Lineage: Bacteria; Bacillati; Bacillota; Clostridia; Lachnospirales; Lachnospiraceae. The record is from RNAcentral.